Molecule: long non-coding RNA, 3545 nt
Organism: Oncorhynchus masou masou (cherry salmon)
Lineage: Eukaryota; Metazoa; Chordata; Actinopteri; Salmoniformes; Salmonidae
Exons: 6
Source: RefSeq, a predicted model, not a curated record
AGGCAGUGAGGAAAGUCCCUGUUAUCUCAAACAAGUUGGAUAGACCUGUACUACAGAGACCUGCUACCGUUCGUUACCUGCACUCACGGGUGCUGGUUGCCGGUUUGUGUGAUCUUGAUGAUGGAACUCAAAGGUAUUACUAUUGGAGGCUAAUUUUGUUGUCUGUUCUGUAGUCUCCACAGGAGAGAUUUAAAUGUUUUACAAGAGGGGAGGUUAUUUUACCAUGUACAGUGAGGAAAGAACGUAUUUGAUCCCCUGCUGAUUUUGUAAAUUUGCCCACUGACAAAGAAAUGAUCAGUCUAUAAUUUUAAUGGUAGGUUUAUUUGAACAGUGAGAGACAGAAUAACAACAAAACAAAUCCAGAAAAAUGCAUGUCAAAAAUGUUAUAAAUUGAUUUGCAUUUUAAUGAGGGAAAUAAGUAUUUGACCCCUCUGCAAAUCAUGACUUAGUACUUGGGGUCAAAACCCUUGUUGGCAAUGACAGAGGUCAGACGUUUCUUGUAGUUGGUCACCAGGUUUGCACACAUCUCAGGAGGGAUUUUGUCCUACUCCUCUUUGCAGAUCUUCUCCAAGUCAUUAAGGUUUCGAGGCUGACAUUUGGCAACUCGAACCUUCAGCUCCCUCCACAGAUUUUCUAUGGGAUUAAGGUCUUGAGACUGGCUAGGCCACUCCAGGACCUUAAUGUGCUUCUUCUUGAGCCACUCCUUUGUUGCCUUGGCCAUGUGUUUUGGGUCAUUGUCAUGCUGGAAUACCCAUCCACGACCCAUUUUUAAUGCCCUGGCUGAGGGAAGGAGGUUCUCACCCAAGAUUUGACGGUACAUGGCCCCAUCCAUCGUCCCUUUGAUGCGGUGAAGUUGUCCUGUCCCCUUAGCAGAAAAACACCCCCAAAGCAUAAUGUUUCUACCUCCAUGUUUGACGGUGGGGAUGGUGUUCUUGGGGUCAUAGGCAGCAUUCCUCCACCUCCAAACACGGCGAGUUGAGUUGAUGCCAAAGAGCUCCAUUUUGGUCUCAUCUGGCUAAAACACUUUCACCCAGUUGUCCUCUGAAUCAUUCAGAUGUUCAUUGGCAAACUUCAGACAGGCCUGUAUAUGUGCUUUCUUGAGCAGGGGAACCUUGCGGGCGCUGCAGGAUUUCAGUCCUUCAUGGCGUAGUGUGUUACCAAUUGUUUUCUUGGUGACUAUGGUCCCAGCUGCCUUGUGAUCAUUGACAAAAUCCUCCCGUUGUAACGGUUUUCUUGAGGUGAAAGAGAGGCGGACCAAAACGCAGCGUGGUGGUUAUUCAUGGUACUUUAAUUUAUAAAGACACUAUACAUGAAUAAACUAACAAAACAAUAAACGUGAGAACCUAAACAGCCUAUCUGGUGAAAACAGAGACAGGAACAAUCACCCACAAACACACAGUGAAACCCAGGCUACCUAAGUAUGAUUCUCAAUCAGAGACAACUAAUGACACCUGCCUCUGAUUGAGAACCAUACUAGGCCGAAACAUAGAAAUACCCAAAUCAUAGAAAAACAAACAGACUGCCCACCCCAACUCACGCCCUGACCAUACUAAAUAAUGACAAAACAAAGGAAAUAAAGGUCAGAACGUGACACCCGUGUAGUUCUGGGCUGAUUCCCCACCGUUCUCAUGAUCACAGCAACUUCUCUCUCCUACUGACUGAACUCAAGGACUCUGAUAGUGGGAGUUAUUCAUGUUUCCUACCAACCAAGGACAUUCUUCAUCAAGUGGAACUUUCUGUUCAAGGUUUGUAUUACAACCAAGUGUAACAGACAAUUCAUAGAGAAUGGUCAUGAUUCUGCCUUUGCUUAUCUAUACAGUAUUGGAAUUAGUCAACUUUUCAAUUAGAAAGUAGUUACUUUGACACCACAGUGUUAUUUAAAGGAAACAUAUUCACUUCCUCAAUACUCUUUAUUAAAGAGUGUUUAGAUCAUGUGGUUGCAUUGUGUGUUCAGUCAGAUGUCUGUUAGAAGGAGGAAGUCAGUUCAGUCUCAAAGAUUUAUCACAGCUCUGAGGAUGACGAGGAUUGUUGCCUGUCUGUUCUGUGUCUUAAAACUGUGUGUUGGAGCUGAGGCUUUGACAGAGACACUGGUAGAACUUGGACACAAUGCAACACUGAACUGUUCUCUUAAUAAUGUAACUGAUGCACAUUGGUACCUACAUCGCCAACCACAGCCUCCACUGGCCAUACUCCGCUCUUUCACUAGUAGGAGUCCUGUUGCUUUUUAUUACAAUAAGAAUUAUAGACAGAAAUAUUCAUUAGAAACAGGACAUAGAUUGUUAAUACAGAAUGUAACAGUAGAUGAUUGUGGAGUGUACUACUGUGCAAAGAAAGAAAACGAUAGUUUCCUUUUCAGUAACGGCACCAGACUCAUGACCCCUGUUGAUCCUGAAGCAACAGAGCAACCCAGAGACUUCACCACACCAUGGCUAAAGGGUCUUCUCAUUGGAUCCGGGGUCUUCAAUGCAGUGCUCAUUUUAUUGGUGUUAGCCAUUUCAGUGCUGUGGAAGAGAGCUGCUUGCAAGAAGAACCAUGACUCUCCUCCAACCCCUGAACCACCUGAAAGGACAGACAGUCUAGAGUAUGAAGUGAUACAGCUGGUACCCCAAGCGAGAGGACUAAGGCCCGACCACAAAGCCUCAACUAUUUACUCAAGGGUCCAGUUUCCAAAUCAUGAACUCACAACUACUACUUGAUAAGGUGCCAAAUCUUGACUUUGGUGGAUAAUGUGAACUAGAAAAUGACUUUGGUAGAUAAAGUGAAUCUACUCUGAAUAUUCAUAUGUUUGUGUAAUGUAUUUAGUGGUGCUCUUCGUCACUAUCGUCUAUAUACCAGUCAGCAAUAUCUUUGAAGGAAAUAUCUUUGAAGGAAAUUAUUACUUUUGUGUCUUGAUUCAUGUUUUUCAUUUUUCAUUGCUGGAAAUACGUUCAUAUUUGCCUUUCUUGAAAGUAAACUGUUACUUUUUUUGUGAAGCAGUUAGGAAGAGGUUUGUGUAUUUCUGUAGAAAAAGCCCCUAAGCCUUUUGUAGUGUAUUGAUGCUGCAUCAACCACACAUAUCCUGUUUGAGAGCUUAGACACAUGUCCCAAUUACUGUACAAUAAACCAUUUUGAUGACUUUUACAAGCUUUCAAUUAGUUCAUUAGAAAUCCUACUUCAUGUGCCCCAUAACACCUUUCUGAGAAGAAAGUAGUGUCACAACUUCUGCCGAGGUCGGUCCCUCUCCUUGUUCGGGUGGCAUUCGGCAGUUGACGUCACCAGUCUUCUAGCGAUCGUCGCUCCACCUUUCAUUUUCCAUUUCUUUUGUCUUGUUUACCUGGUUCACAUUCUCUCAUCAGAUUAAAUGUAUAUUACCAUCUGUUUCCCCCAUGUCUGUGUGUGGAAUUGUUCUUUGUGUUACGCUACAGGCUGGCUUGCGCUAGGUUUGUUUCAAACCUAGGUUUGUUUGUUUUGUUUAACCCGGUUCCUGUUCCCGUGGUUGUGCUUUGUGCUGCCUCGCCUGUGCCUUUGGGCCAGGGUGUAUAAUAAAGUUCUCCUGUUAUCACCCA